Molecule: ribosomal RNA, 469 nt
Filed under: uncultured bacterium
Lineage: Bacteria
Description: partial 16S ribosomal RNA
Rfam family: Bacterial small subunit ribosomal RNA
Source: RNAcentral
GACGAACGCUGGCGGCGUGCUUAACACAUGCAAGUCGAACGGAAAGGCCCUGCUUUUGUGGGGUGCUCGAGUGGCGAACGGGUGAGUAACACGUGAGUAACCUGCCCUUGACUUUGGGAUAACUUCAGGAAACUGGGGCUAAUACCGGAUAGGAGCUCCUGCUGCAUGGUGGGGGUUGGAAAGUUUCGGCGGUUGGGGAUGGACUCGCGGCUUAUCAGCUUGUUGGUGGGGUAGUGGCUUACCAAGGCUUUGACGGGUAGCCGGCCUGAGAGGGUGACCGGCCACAUUGGGACUGAGAUACGGCCCAGACUCCUACGGGAGGCAGCAGUGGGGAAUAUUGCACAAUGGGCGGAAGCCUGAUGCAGCAACGCCGCGUGCGGGAUGACGGCCUUCGGGUUGUAAACCGCGUUCGCCUGUGACGAAGCGUGAGUGACGGUAAUGGGUAAAGAAGCACCGGCUAACUACGUGC